RNAcentral lists this transfer-messenger RNA (368 nucleotides) under Bdellovibrionales bacterium GWA2_49_15. It matches the Rfam family "transfer-messenger RNA". Rfam says of the family: Bacterial tmRNA, also known as 10Sa RNA or SsrA, is named for its dual tRNA and mRNA-like properties. Its role is to liberate the mRNA from a stalled ribosome. RNAcentral also lists the same sequence under 1 other name. The record is from RNAcentral. Lineage: Bacteria; Pseudomonadati; Bdellovibrionota; Bdellovibrionia; Bdellovibrionales.
GGGGGUGCCAUGGUUUCGACAAGGCAAUCUUAGGUUUUGUGGGCGUGUCCAGGUUGAUCUCCAGGCCCUGGUCAAAAGGAGAUCAAAUGUAUGUGCAGACUCUUAUGAGUCAUAUGCUCUAGCCGCCUAGUGCGUUUCUAGACAUUGAGGGGGUAGCCCCGAGAAACAGAAGCUACCAAAGCUGUGGAGGCAUCAGUCUAACUUGCCUCUGAGGAUCAGCCGGGCCACCUCAUAAAAAAAGCACCGGGGUUCCCAAAGUGCACGCAACUUCGGUGGCCUUGUUUGCUGGCGAUAAAUGCAAACUACACACGUAGUCCGCUCUACCAAUGAUGUUUUGGACGUGGGUUCGAUUCCCACCACCUCCACCA